UACGGAGGUGGCAAGCGUUGCUCGGAAUCACUGGGCGUAAAGGGCUCGUAGGCGGCCAACUAAGUCAGACGUGAAAUCCCUCGGCUUAACCGGGGAACUGCGUCUGAUACUGGUUGGCUUGAAUCCGGGAGAGGGAUGUGGAAUUCCAGGUGUAGCGGUGAAAUGCGUAGAUAUCUGGAGGAACACCGGUGGCGAAGGCGGCAUCCUGGACCGGUAUUGACGCUGAGGAGCGAAAGCCAGGGGAGCAAACGGG
This 253-nucleotide ribosomal RNA is filed under the name uncultured bacterium. Its description in RNAcentral is "partial 16S ribosomal RNA". It matches the Rfam family "Bacterial small subunit ribosomal RNA", at positions 524 to 776 of the family's 1533-position model. The record is from RNAcentral.